UCUACAAUGUCUGGUAGCGACUAACAAUAUAAUAAGCGAGCAGCCCCGGGCAACAGAAAAAAAGAGUUAAUCUGUCAUGGUACGAUGACGGCUGUAAUAAAUGGUUUGAAUGGAGGCAGCGAGCAGCGACGAUUUAUUAGAUAAGUGUUUUCACGCCAACGGAUGAUCACGAGUGAACGAGGAGACUUCGAGCCAGCCGGUGGUUAUUAGCGAGUUAAUAUUUAAUAAAUUCGACACACCGGAGCGCAUCCUUUGAACUCUUUCGGGCUCUGAGAAGCAUUGAGGAGUGAGAACCGGAGGGGACUGGAUGAGUGUUAACAGGGAUCAAUCAGUGCUGCAGGGUAGUAACAGUUGUUGCCGUAUGUUGACAAGAAGCGUCUGACGGUGUGAUUUUGAAGAGCGAUUUACGUCUUAAGUUGUUCACUUCCAUCCGAUGUUUAUGUUCCACUAUAUCCUUUUAUUCAGUGACGUUUUUGUAAAUGCAAAUGCAUACACAGUGCUCGUGAAAUUGGUUCCAAAGCGACUAAGAGCCCCCACUAUGUUGAAGUGUUGAAGGUGGGCAACAAUGUUUCCAAGAAUAUGAAUAAUACUAUGUACUUCCUGAUGACUCAACAAAUUACCAUAAAGUAUUUUUGGAAGUUGGCCUUAAAAUUAUAUGCAGUACAAUCAUUCAUCAUAAACAAAUCGGAGAUAAGUAUUCGUUUUUUUACAUCAUUACAUCAGUCACCUCGAUCGGGAAACUGUUUUCAUAUUCCCGCCAAGGAUAAACAUCAGUUAUAUUCUAUACAUUACAACACUAUUGACCUUUUUCCUUGUCUUUACAGCUGGCAUGAUCCCAGACUCGUAAUACUUGUUUACCAAAAACCAUCCAAGCUAUGGGACUGAAGGUAACGGCGAGUUGGAAUCUUUCUUGAACACAUCAUCGACCGUAAAAAAAUUAAGGGACACGAGAGAACAAAAUACGGAUGAAACGUGCUAAUUCUACCGCCACUCUGCUAAUCAGCUAAUGCAAAUCAGAGCGAUGCAGCAGGAAGAGGAACGGGAACUUGCUUUGGAAAUGCUCAUGAAAUUGAGGCUGCGAUUAAAAUUUGCCUCUUGUACGCAGUUUAUAGAAUGAUUUCAAAUGGAGGCGAUCUGGCGUAGUGGUAACAUCCAUGCCUCUCACGCUAAAGGUCACGAGUUCAAUUCUCACUCCCGACAUUCUUCCAAAAAUGGAAGUAAAAAGUGACGAACCAGCCAAAUGAGUUGAAAGUCACUAUAAUACAGAUAAUAAAAUAAGAAUGAUUUCA
Toxorhynchites rutilus septentrionalis is the source of this 1289-nucleotide long non-coding RNA. RefSeq lists it as uncharacterized. Lineage: Eukaryota; Metazoa; Arthropoda; Insecta; Diptera; Culicidae. The transcript has 3 exons. The record is from RefSeq and is a predicted model, not a curated record.